UCGCUUUUACUUUUCUCCUUUUUCCCCACUUUUUUCCUUCCCUGUCUUUUUUUUCCCGCUCCAGCAAAGUGAUGAGCGCCCCGGGAAGCACGGCUCGCCCCUGCCCUGCCGGGGCAAAGCGCGGCGCGCAGCCCUCCCCUCCCCCGCCGCCGCCGAGGGCCGUGAUUAUAAACCUCUGUCACCUUUUUAGCCAGUUUGACAAUAUUCAGGGUUUCCCCUGCCCCUUACUUAAACAAAGCUUCAGCGUGUCAUUUUUUUUUCCCCCCAGAAAAGAAACAGAAAUCAAAACUAGUGCCGUCAGAGUUUUCGGGCUUUCGGUGGGUUUUUUUUUUAAACUUGUAAACUUCUGGGCGCAGCGUGUGUCUGCGUGUGUGCAGCCUCGCAGGAGGCUCUAUCUGUCAAAAGCAGAGCGGGAGAGCGCGGGGGCUGCUGGCGAGGACGCUCCCGAAACCAAGCCCAUCUCCAGGAAGAUGCUGUAGCUUUAAAGAUGCUUUGACUUGAGGAUUAGUUUAAACAGGGGGCUAUAAAAGAUGUAACAGAUGCAAACUGUAAAACAAGGGCAAUUAACCCCUGCUCUGCUGGACAGAAACCCCCCUGUCCUCCCCAGCCAUUGUCCUCUCCUGCACUGCAAGUUUUGCACGAAACGGCAAAAACGAUUACCUGCCUCCACGGUUUUUUUGCAGCAAAGUGGGUUUGUUUGGUUUGCUUUUUUUUUAUAUCAUUCUGUCUCCUGACUUUGUUAGAGCUUUGCAGCAGCACUGAGCAGCUAAGUGUGCUGCUCCCAGGGCUUUUAUUCUGUCUGGACUCUCUUUUUUUCCGGGCGUUUCUGGCUAUAAAAGCUGCCUGGCUAAAACCGGUCCCCGAGCAGGUGGGCAGCGGGACAGGCAGCGUGGGCUGGGGGGCAGCGCGUUCGCCCACACUCCGCUGCUGGCGGAGGCGCCCGGGCAGCGCGAGCGGGGAGGGAGGAAGGGACUGCGAAAUGUCCUGCAAACUUUAUUAUUUGCUGGUCAUUUCUGACCGUGGGGUGUGCGGGGGCUGCAUCCUCCUCGCAGAGCCAGCACCAGCUGCACCCAGGGCGGGAACCGCGGAAAACCCGCACCCCGAGCUCUCCUCGGCGCCCGGCGUGCUAAGGCGAAACCACCGAGAAUGGGUUGUUUUAAACGCAUUUCAGUGCCUUCCCUGCUCCCUAGCAUGCCAGGAAAAAAAGUUGUCCAUAAUUUUAAACCUGCAGACCUCGAGGACACUUUUCUUCCCAGAGAACUGGCUAUCUUUUUUUCUCUCUCUUUUUUUUUUUUUUUUUGCUUUUUGGUAAACGACUUUUAAGUUCCAGUCAGUACUUUCACUUCUUGCUUUAGGAUCCCAGAAGCUAAGGUGUUACUUCACCCAGCCUCACAAAAUAAAAUAAAGAAAUGAAACCAGCUAAGCAGACAAAACAGCAAACUUUCAGUUUGGGGAAAUCCGCACGCUCGCCGGGAGCCCUGGCGCAGCCCGGCCGCCCGCUGCCUCCGCCGGCGCAGGACGCGCAGCACUAACAGUUUUGGCCAGAAAUGGUGAGAAGAAAAAGCAUGAAGAAGCCGCGAAGUGGAGGAGAAAAGGUGAAGGGAGAUGCAGCUCCUGGAGAAAUUGUAAAAAAGCCUUGCAAAGAGUUGUCGGAAGGACCGUUAUUCCUGCUGGGCAGGAGCGGGAGGAGAGACCCUGAAACACACGCCACCUAUCUUUGUGGGGAGGGAUAAUUGAAGAGCACCAAACGUGAGCAUCAUGUGGAAACGUGAUCGCCAAGUUUCUCUCUGGGAAAGGAUCUGGGAUAGAUUAUACCUUGAAGUCUCCGCGAACGCUUUAGCGGGAGAAAUGCGAUUCCGCCGCCUCCCGCCCGCCCCCCGCCCCGCGCCCGCCCCCCGCCCCGCUCCGCGCCGCUCCGCGCCCCGCCGCGCACCGCCCCGCCGCAACUCACCGCCGCCGCCCGGCCCCGCGCAGCGCCGCGGCCCCUGCCCCCCAGCGCUCAUCCAGGUUAUUUGAACAGUCAGCUAAAUCGGACGAGGCAAUAAUAAAAAAAAAGCAACCCGCGCUGAGCUCUCCGCGCGUCUCUGUUCCCUGCGCGGACGCGGAGCGGGGGCGAGGGGCGCUGCCCCCACCGCGCUGCGCACCCCGCGGAGCGGCGGGACGGGCGGCGGCGCAGCGGGCACCCAACUUCGCGGAGGUGACAAGUUUGUCACCUUUGUAAAGUAUUAAAAUUGAAAUAAAAUCGCAUCUCGGGAAGAAACUCAGACUCCACCUUUGCGCGGAGGGGAUUGGUUAUGCAAAUAUGGAAGGGGUUUCCUGGCAAAUGCAGCUUUCUACUGUAUGGUUAAUUAAAUCAUCACUCAAAAGCC
Molecule: long non-coding RNA, 2369 nt
Organism: Dromaius novaehollandiae (emu)
Lineage: Eukaryota; Metazoa; Chordata; Aves; Casuariiformes; Dromaiidae
Exons: 4
Source: RefSeq, a predicted model, not a curated record